This 64-nucleotide ribosomal RNA is filed under the name uncultured bacterium. RNAcentral's name for it is "partial 16S ribosomal RNA". The record is from RNAcentral.
UGGUCUUGACAUAGAAAGAACUUUCCAGAGAUGACUUGGUGCCGCUUCGGUGGAACGUUGAUAC